UUAGGAAUUUUGCGCAAUGGGCUAACGCCUGACGCAGCAACGCCGCGUGGAGGAUGAAGGCCUUCGGGUUGUAAACUCCUUUUAGCAGGGAAGAAAAAAAUGACGGUAUCUGCAGAAAAAGCACCGGCUAACUCUGUGCCAGCAGCCGCGGUAAUACAGAGGGUGCAAGCGUUAUUCGGAAUCACUGGGCGUAAAGAGCUCGUAGGCUGUUUACUAAGUCGAAUGUGAAAUCCCCGGGCUCAAUCCGGGAAGUGCAUUCGAUACUGGUAGACUUGAGUGCAGGAGAGGAAAGCGGAAUUCCAGGUGUAGAGGUGAAAUUCGUAGAUAUCUGGAGGAACAACAGAAGCGAAGGCGGCUUUCUGGACUGUCACUGACGCUGAGGAGCGAAAGCGUGGGGAGCAAACAGG
This 407-nucleotide ribosomal RNA is filed under the name uncultured bacterium. RNAcentral describes it as "bacterial SSU rRNA". It matches the Rfam family "Bacterial small subunit ribosomal RNA", at positions 355 to 776 of the family's 1533-position model. The record is from RNAcentral.